This 468-nucleotide ribosomal RNA is filed under the name uncultured bacterium. RNAcentral describes it as "partial 16S ribosomal RNA". It matches the Rfam family "Bacterial small subunit ribosomal RNA", at positions 28 to 507 of the family's 1533-position model. The record is from RNAcentral.
GACGAACGCUGGCGGCGUGCUUAACACAUGCAAGUCGAACGGAAAGGCCCUGCUUUUGUGGGGUGCUCGAGCGGCGAACGGGUGAGUAACACGUGAGUAACCUGCCCUUGACUUUGGGAUAACUUCAGGAAACUGGGGCUAAUACCGGAUAGGAGCUCCUGCUGCAUGGUGGGGGUGGGAAAGUUUCGGCGGUUGGGGAUGGACUCGCGGCUUAUCAGCUUGUUGGUGGGGUAGUGGCUUACCAAGGCUUUGACGGGUAGCCGGCCUGAGAGGGUGACCGGCCACAUUGGGACUGAGAUACGGCCCAGACUCCUACGGGAGGCAGCAGUGGGGAAUAUUGCACAAUGGGCGGAAGCCUGAUGCAGCAACGCCGCGUGCGGGAUGACGGCCUUCGGGUUGUAAACCGCUUUCGCCUGUGACGAAGCGUGAGUGACGGUAAUGGGUAAAGAAGCACCGGCUAACUACGUG